UGGGGAAUCUUAGACAAUGGAGGAAACCCUGAUCUAGCCAUGCCGCGUGAGCGAUGAAGGCCUUAGGGUUGUAAAGCUCUUUCAGCUGGGAAGAUAAUGACGGUACCAGCAGAAGAAGCCCCGGCUAACUCCGUGCCAGCAGCCGCGGUAAUACGGAGGGGGCUAGCGUUGUUCGGAAUUACUGGGCGUAAAGCGCACGUAGGCGGAUUAGUCAGUCAGAGGUGAAAUCCCAGGGCUCAACCCUGGAACUGCCUUUGAUACUGCUAGUCUUGAGGUCGAGAGAGGUGAGUGGAAUUCCGAGUGUAGAGGUGAAAUUCGUAGAUAUUCGGAGGAACACCAGUGGCGAAGGCGGCUCACUGGCUCGAUACUGACGCUGAGGUGCGAAAGCGUGGGGAGCAAAACAGGAUUAGAUACCCCUGGUAGUCCACGCCGUAAACGAUGAAUGCCAGUCGUCGGGUUGCAUGCAAUUCGGUGACACACCCUAAACGGAUUAAGCAUUCCGCCUGGGGAGUACGGUCGCAAGAUUAAAACUCAAAGGAAUUGACGGGGUCAUAGCUGUUUCCUG
This 565-nucleotide ribosomal RNA is filed under the name uncultured bacterium. RNAcentral's name for it is "partial 16S ribosomal RNA". It matches the Rfam family "Bacterial small subunit ribosomal RNA", at positions 355 to 1376 of the family's 1533-position model. The record is from RNAcentral.